CUCUUCCUCUAGUCAGCAAUAUUAAAGCACACAAACAGAGAAGUAAAAGCAAAAAAAAAAGAAUGGCAAUGAAAGAGCAGCAGGUUGUAGUUCUUGUCAGUGCCAGACACACUUAACUCCAUUCCAUUUCUCUCAAGCAAGCUGUCCAAGACAGACCAACAUUAUUGAACACAUAAGCAAAGCAUUUGGAACAAAGAGAGAGAGAAACCUUAAAUACCCUCUGAAAGCAGCCUGAAGAAAAGGCUAGAUCAAUGCCACCCAGAAAAGCAACCGACUGAUCUAUGACUACCAUCUUUUCAUGAUGCGCCCAGAGGAAGACAAUGGAGGAUACAUGAUCAGGAUGACGCAUCACCUGCCAAGAAGAAAUCCAGGAGUUAUGAGAGGAAAGCAUGCUAUAGAAGUCAAACCUACCAGCUGAAUGUUGAUAUAUAAUCUACAUAGAUGUUCAUCAAAAUAAAUAAAUAAAAAAAAAAAAAACCGAAAGAACUUCAUUUCAAAAAAAGUUGGUAUGGGGUGUAAACUGCAAAUAAAAACAGAAUGUGAAGAUUUGCAAAUCAUUGAAACUGAGAAAUUUUAUUGUUUUAUGAAAAAUAUGUGCUCUUUUUGAAUUUGUCAGUAACAUGAAUGGGUAUAAAAAAUAAGUAUCACAGAGAGGCAGAGUCUCUGAGGUGUAAAGAUGGGGAGGUUUUCACCACUCUGUGAAAUACUGCAUUGGCAAGUACUGCAACAAUUUUAGAAUAAUGGUCCUCAAAAUAAAAUUGCAAAAAAUUUCAUCAUCUACGGUACAUAAUAUCAUUAAAAGAUUCAGAGUAUCCACAUAAAUAUAUGUACAUGUGAGACAAAGCAAAAAACCAGUAUUGGUUGGAUCUGAUCUUCUGGCCCACCAAACGACACUGCAUUAAAAGCAGACAAAAUUCUGUGGAGAAAAUCAGUGUAUGGGCUCAGGAACACUUCUGAAAACCACAGUCUGUGAAUGCAACCCAUCUCUGCAUCCACAAAUGCAAGUUAAAACUCUACCAUGUAAAGAAGAAACUAAGCCCAAGCUCAUUUAUGAUGGAUUGAGACAAAGUGGAAAACAGUCCUGUGGUCUGAUAAAUUAAAAUUUGAAAUUCUUUUUGGAAAUCAUGGCCAGCAUAUCUCCUAAGUUAAAGAGGAGACGAACCAUCUGGUAUGUUAUCAGCACACAGUUCUUAAGCCAAUGUCUGUGAUGGUAUAGGAGUACAUUAAUGCACAUGGUAUGGGUAGCUUGCACAUCUGUGAAGGCAACAUUAAUUCUGAAUUAUACAUAUGGGUUUUGGAGCAACAUAUGCUGAUAUCCAGAAAAUGUCUUUUUCAUGGAAGGCCUUGCUUAUUUCAGCAAGACAAAUCCCAAACUCCAUUCUGCACAUAUUACAACAGUAUGGUUCUGUUGUAAAAGAGUCUGGGUACCAAACUGGCCUGCCUGUAGUCCAGACCUGUCACCCAUUGGAAACAUUUAGCACAUUAUGAAACAAAAAUAUGACAAACAAGACUCCAAACUGUUGGACAACAUUUUACUUCCAAAACAACCGCAAUAGGUCCCCUCAGUUCCCAAACAUUUAGAGACUGUUGUUAAAAGAAAAUGUGAUGCAACACAGUGGUAAAUGUGCCCUGUCCCAACUUUUGUGAAACGUGUUGCUGGCAUCAGAAUCAAAAUAAACAAAAAAAUUUCUGUUUCAACAUCUGAUAUGUUGUCUUUGUACAAUUUUCAGUUAAACAAGAUUUACAUUAAUUACAAAUCACCAUAUUCUGUUCUAAUUUACAUUUUACACAGUGUCCCAACUUUUUUGGAAAUGGGGUUGUAUAAGCCACACUGGUCUGGAUAAGCUGUUGGCUUCUGUUCAGUUUAAUUACUUUCUGCUUUGUUUUCUGUGUGUUUUAACAAAUCCAUAUAUUUAUAUGUCAUAAUUCUGUAUAAUCUAUACUUGUUUUAUACCUGAGAAUUUGUUCACUGUGUUCCGUCCCUGCACUUAUUGAAGAGUAUUAUACAAAAAUAA
This is a long non-coding RNA of Erpetoichthys calabaricus (reedfish), 2015 nucleotides long. RefSeq lists it as uncharacterized. The record is from RefSeq and is a predicted model, not a curated record. Lineage: Eukaryota; Metazoa; Chordata; Cladistia; Polypteriformes; Polypteridae. The transcript has 2 exons.